CAGCAGCCGCGGGAAUACAGAGGGUGCAAGCGUUACUCGGAAUUACUGGGCGUAAAGCGUGCGUAGGUGGUGGUUUAAGUCCGUUGUGAAAGCCCUGGGCUCAACCUGGGAAUUGCAGUGGAUACUGGGUCACUAGAGUGUGGUAGAGGAUAGUGGAAUUUCCGGUGUAGCAGUGAAAUGCGUAGAGAUCGGAAGGAACAUCUGUGGCGAAGGCGACUAUCUGGGCCAACACUGACACUGAGGCACGAAAGCGUGGGGAGCAAACAGGAUUAGAUACCCCCGUAGUCCCUGUCUCUUAUAC
RNAcentral lists this ribosomal RNA (301 nucleotides) under uncultured bacterium. RNAcentral's name for it is "partial 16S ribosomal RNA". It matches the Rfam family "Bacterial small subunit ribosomal RNA", at positions 509 to 807 of the family's 1533-position model. The record is from RNAcentral.